CCAAACCUAAAGGAGAUUAUCACAGAGAAAGCCAAUCCAAGCUGGUUGAUGCUGAGGCAGGAGAUGGAGAUGAAGGUAACAACAAUGAUGAUGAUGGAGAUGGUGGCUUUGGAGAAGGUGAAGAGGAGCUAUCUUCCGAAGAGGGAGAGGGCUAUGGCAAAAAUCCCACCAGCAACAAUGGCAAUUCCAAGAAAGGGACUGGAGAAGGGGCUGGUGGCGCAGGAGAAGAGAAUGGAGAAGAUGACGAGGAAGAAGAUGGUGAUGACCAUAAUGAGGAUGAUGACAAUGAUGACGAUGAUGACAACAACAAUGAAGAAGACAAUGAGGAUGAAGGUGGAGACGAGGAAGAGGAAGAAAUUCUAGAGGAAGAGAAGCCAGAGGAGGAUGAAGAGGAUGAAGAAGAAGAAGCCCUCCAGCCUCCAAAGAAGAGGAAGAAGUGAAAAAUGGAAAAGUAGGAAAUGC
Molecule: long non-coding RNA, 462 nt
Filed under: Vitis vinifera (wine grape)
Lineage: Eukaryota; Viridiplantae; Streptophyta; Magnoliopsida; Vitales; Vitaceae
Description: long non-coding RNA (VVIN_LNC005925)
Source: RNAcentral